RNAcentral lists this ribosomal RNA (400 nucleotides) under uncultured bacterium. RNAcentral's name for it is "partial 16S ribosomal RNA". The record is from RNAcentral.
CGCGGUAAUGUGGUAAUUUAGAAGAGGUUUCACGCUUAUCAGAACCUCCAUAGUGUUAAGACCAUCUGUGCCGCGACCCUGUAUGACAAGGACAUGACGACCGGAUUCUCUCUACCUAUGCUGUCGUCGUACCCGACCGUAUCAGAAAGUAACGUCACUGAUAUCGAGAGAGUAAGAGCGAGUAUCGGAGCGGAUAGCGACCUGCAGCGCGACNACAUACACUGAUAGCAGCUCAUCUAACAACGAGCAACCUCACGCGAUGACCCGCGAUCACGACAAGGGAUAUCGCAGGUUACAACUCUCAAAUAUCCUAACCGUCGACACAAGAAUCGAAUCAUAUCGAUACCAUUCUGGACGGUGUGAUGAUUGGCGGAGGUAGCGGGACGACGAAACGCCUAGC